CCCCCCUGGCAAUGGGCAAAGAGGCACCUUGUUGUUAAUGGUGUUGUUCUUCCAUCAGUCAGGUAGAGGGUGCAGUCCUAUGUUCAUCCUAGAUUGAUGCCUGGCUUGGCGGCCAAACCUGUCUUCUGCCUAGGACUCAUUA
Rattus norvegicus (Norway rat) is the source of this 142-nucleotide small nucleolar RNA. Ensembl annotates it as small nucleolar RNA SNORA48. NCBI's taxonomy places the organism in Eukaryota, Metazoa, Chordata, Mammalia, Rodentia, Muridae. The record is from Ensembl.